ACUCAAAUGAAUUGACGGGGGCCCGCACAAGCGGUGGAGGAUGUGGUUCAAUUCGACGCUACGCGAAGAACCUUACCUGGGCUCGAAAUGCUAGGUAAACCCCAUGAAAAUGGGGCUGCCCGCAAGGGUGACCUAGUAUAGGUGCUGCAUGGCUGUCGUCAGCUCGUGUCGUGAGAUGUUGGGUUAAGUCCCGCAACGAGCGCAACCCUUGUCGUUAGUUACAAUCGGGUCAUGCCGGGGACUCUAACGAGACUGCCGGUGGUAAACCGGAGGAAGGUGGGGAUGACGUCAAGUCCUCAUGGCCCUUAUGUCCAGGGCUACACACGUCCUACAAUGGGUGGGACAACGGGUUGCCAGGCCGCGAGGCCGAGCUAAUCUCUUAAACUCACCCUCAGUUCAGAUUGCAGUCUGCAACUCGACUGCAUGAAGCUGGAAUCGCUAGUAAUCGCGGAUCAGAACGCCGCGGUGAAUACGUUCCCGGGCCUUGCACACACCGCCCGU
This 501-nucleotide ribosomal RNA is filed under the name uncultured bacterium. RNAcentral's name for it is "partial 16S ribosomal RNA". It matches the Rfam family "Bacterial small subunit ribosomal RNA", at positions 899 to 1397 of the family's 1533-position model. The record is from RNAcentral.